Non-coding RNA from Thamnophis sirtalis, 4787 nucleotides. The record is from RefSeq and is a predicted model, not a curated record. NCBI's taxonomy places the organism in Eukaryota, Metazoa, Chordata, Lepidosauria, Squamata, Natricidae.
UGUUGACUGAGAACAGCAACUGCAACCCCCGGCAGGGCCUCCUUCUCUCCCCCCCCCCACCUUUCUAGAAACGUGCCGCUUGCCGCUAACAGUUUCUUUUUCCUUCUUCCCUAUCUUAAUUUCUUUCUUUCUUUUUUCUUUUCGGUUUCUUAUCUUUCCCGCUGCAGCCCACGGUUUUAUUUUUAUUUUAUUUUUUUUGCUUUGGUUUUUGUAAGCAGCAUUUAGACGUCAAGCCCUCUGCGUUUUUAAAAGGUCUGGGCUGUUCAAAGGGGGCGAAAAAGAGCGAACGAGGGACGACGAAAACAGGCAACAAACCUUCAGAGAGGAUUGAAGGGCCAGCGCUGACGCGUUAAGCCGAAAUGACAGGAAAAGAUUUAGUUUGAAGACUACUUGCAAUUGUCUGCUUACCUGCUGAUAGCCUGCAAGGAAAAACAGCAUUUCUCAUAGAAGUAUUAAUGCGUCUAGCAACAUUUAUGAUCACCAGCUGCUCCUGAAUGUCUACAGUGGAGGCAAGAAGAGCAAAUGAUGGCAUAGGUUUAUUGUGCAGCAGAUCUCAUGGUAUCAUCACAGCUGUCAUCAUGCAAGAACUUAAUUGGGUCAUUUGCAGGAAGACAUCAGGGGACCCAAGUUAUAUUGGCACCGUGGCUUGUUUCAGAGGCCUGUGAUAUUCAGGCUUCUUUCUUUCUGAGUCUUUUCCAGCAGUCACUUUGCGUAGCAUUUUUUUCUGCCCUAAAUUAUUUGUUUAAAAAAGGAGAGCAAGGUGGAGAAAACGUAGGAUCUUUUACCUAUGUAGAGGCUUACAUAUUUGUAUCUGCAGUUUCUGUGAUUGAAUUAAAAUUAUUAGAGGAGAAUUUCCCUACCAGUCAGAACAUUUUAUUAAUUGCUGGAGGACCAUUGAAAACCUGGGUUUUUGGCAUGCCUAUUUGAAAUAGCCACAGAAAAAAUAAAAAUUAAAUCCUUGGUAGGUGGAAACAGUGUCAAGAAAAAAGCUAGUUUCUGCUGUUUUCAGUAACUUCUACAAUAUUUUUUUCUUUGAUAAGUAGAUUAUAAAUGUUAAAAAAACCUUCAGGCUUUAAAAGUGUCUGUUUUUAAUCUUCUAUCCAAGGUACUGGACUAUUGGCAGCAUCAUUUGACUUCUUAAAGACAAAGUCUUUUAUUUGUGACAAAUAAGCGAUAAAAAAAACCCUUUGUAUUAACAAAAAGCAUUUGUGCUAAAACUCCUGAUGGUGCUACAAAACUCUGGAUGUCCUUUUAGAGACAGAAAAUAUUUAUUUUGAUGGUUAGUGUUUUUUCCCCAAUCUUGAAAUAUUUUCUCUUGCCUAGGUCAGUCAUUGCUUUUUGUGUUUUUUUCUUUGUAAAUAAAUUGUUAUCCUUUUGAACUGUAAUUCUUGGGUGAGUUAAUCAUUUCCCUUUGCUGCUGUAAAGAUAAUGAAAACCUUUUUUUUGUGAAAAUUGGAGAAUGUGAGCUAAUUAGAUAAUUAAUCCCUAUUUGAAAGUUAGGAAGAUCAAUUGCAUAAAUCAGAAAAAGCUACAGUGCAUAUGUCUGCUAUACAUGUACCAUACUUUUCUGAAAACAUGUCUUAAAUCUGUUUUGAAACUUUUUGCCUCCAAAAGAAUUUAUAUAUCCAUAAGAACAUAGAAUUCCCAGAAAGACCAUUGGAAUCAAGUUUUACAAUGACAGAGAUUCAGGAAAUCUGCUGAUUGGGUAAUGCCUAUAUUUUCCAGAUUUAUUAUUUUUAACAAACAUUUCUUCAUGUGCUAAAGUUUUAUCAAAUUACAUUCUGGAAGACUGAGUUGGAAAAUUCCAUCAUCAGGUGCUUUAUCACUAUAUCUAAUAAGCAUUAUAAUAUAUAAAUAUUUAAUUAUAAAAUAUUAAAAGUAAUAGCUAGGUGAUAAUCAGGAGGAUUUCAUUAUGUGUCUCUCUCUAGCACUGGCCAAUAUGUUUCUGUAGACUUGGUGCUCACAGUUGUUAUGGAUGCUAUGACAUUCCAAAAUGACACCAAAGUAUCAGUUUACGUAGGGUAUCCAUCAUCUCAUCUGACAUAUUAAAUGAAACUUGAUUAUUUUUCUUUUAGUGACAAUAAUCCCAAAGUGGGAUAUUUAUAUUAUCAAAACAUGGAAGGUUUUCUCUAGUUCCUAGAAUAAAAUUUAGGACAUUUCCAAGGGAUUAUAAAUAAUAUUCAAAAGAAGUUAACAUACUAUUUCAGAAUAGGACUGGGAAAGAGUAGCAUAUAGUUCAAAAAUUAGAUAAUAUAUAAGAAGCAAGAAACAAGUGUAUUUUUUGGGGGGGGGGGUAGAGAACUGAUUCAUUUAAUUAAGUAGUAUAAUUUUUCUAAGAUCAUCUUUAGAUGUAGAAUCAUAGGCACACAAAUUAAAUGCAUUGAAAUGUUAUGAAAACAUCUGGUAUCAACAUGUAGAAAUGAAAAAAACGUAAUACAAAACAACUUCUUGUUGGGUAAAUGAUAGAUUGGAAGAAACUGUAAAAUCCAAUCUCAAUCAGUCUUCAGCCACUACACCCUUUUUAAUGAUUUUUUAAGAUCCUAGAAAGAGGUUCUGAGAAGAGAUCUACUUCAAGACUACACUGUAAUUGGUUUAAUAAAGAAAAACUGUAUCUAUAAAGCCUAUUUUCAAAACAUACAGACUUUAGUUAAUAUGACCUUGUAUUCAGACCCAGCACUUUUUGCAAUAUUAUUAAAUUGAUAAUUAUUUAAUUGCUAUUUAAUUGUUACUGUUGGAAGCAAAGAAAAAAAUGUUCAACUGUUAGUCUUGCUAAUACAAUUUAAAUAUGGGCGGAAUUCCAGAAAAAUUGGAGGAGAGCCAUCCUGCUCUUUUUGUGAAAAACCUAAUAUGUGAACUAUUAACUUUGCAAGGAAGGUUAUCGGCUAGUUAUCAAAAGAACGUACUGAGUUCCACCUCUCCUUUUCAAACAGUUCAGCUUUUCCAUUUAUUCUAAAGUUUCUCAUAUGUAUUGUAAGAUAAAACUGGGAGAAAUAGACUCUAAAGCUUUUAUUGGGAAAGAAUAAAAGUUCUAAAAUGUGUUCUUUCCUGAUUACACCAUGUAAGUUAAACAAGACAGAAAGAAUGGCUCAUGACGAGAUCUUCAGCAUUUCAGUAGUAGCCCAGCUGUGUAUAUAUGUAAAUUUGCAGGCAGGUAGUGAUAUUGCAGAUGAAAACUCUAUUAUUAUUUCAAGCUUUGUCUGAAGAGAACUAAAGCUUCCCAUGUUUUGUUAAUGGCUCUUUUCAGUUUUAGACUGUCAAUGUAUGUUUAUCUCAAGUUCAUAAUUAGAUAUAUAUUUGGGGUCUUUUUUAAAGUUUAUUUUAAAACGUUUAAAGAAUAAAAUAAACAAAUCCACACACACACACAAAUGAGAAGAGACAAGGGUACCAGAGGUGAGUUGCUGCCGGUUCGACCCGGUUCGACCAAAUCGGUAGUGCCCCGGUGCAGCUGAGAGCAAACCAGUAUGAUGGCUCUUUUGGCCCGCCUACCCACGCUCUAUGCCUGUUUUUAUGGUAAAAGGCAAAUUGCACACAAGCACACAAUGUGCAGCGCCUGUGCGAGCACUGACAAUCAGCUGUUGUCACAGGUGUGGUGGAUUGUGGAAGUGCAUACACCAUGAGUCAGGCACGCGCAUGAACAGCGAAUUGAUGGUGACGGUAAGUGAAACACACCACUGAUGGGUACAUAGAAAACAAAACAUAAGUAAAUAACAGGACAUAUGAUAAGACAAUCUUGCCUUUUGCUUCAGCUUCAAAAUCCUUUUAUUCUGGAGACAAUUAUUGUAAGAAAUGUGUAAUUAUGUAUGCAGAUAUAGCAUAUCCAGAAAUAGACAAACAACAUAGCAAGAAUUAUCUGGUGAAGCCGAAAAUUUGCCAUGCCUGAUUUCUUGAUUACCAGAAGAAUAAACAACUUUAAGUUUUUAAGACAAGUGACAGAAACUGAAACACUUAUAGUGAACCUAUAGAUCAUAUAUAAAAAUUGCUAUUAACAUAUGACUUAGAAACAGAACAAGUUAAACGAUGUAUGACAAAAUGGAUGCAUAAUUUUAAAGAAACAAUUACAGUACAAUAAUGGGAAGACUUGUAGAAAAUUCAAUAAUAUUUAUUCCAAACUAUAAUUUAAGAGAAUAUAUAAAACGUUUUACAGAUGGUAUAGGUAGUCAUUGGUUAAAUCAGUGACUAUUAGAAGCUAUAACAAGAUUGAAUAAUGAGAUUUGUAGUUGUAGUUGUCACAUCAUACCUGAUGUCAUAUGACAACCAGUGUGCAUGAUCACGUGAUCACCAUUUGUGGCCUUCACAGCCAGCUUCCCUCCCCCCCCAAAAGGGGGAGGGAAGCUAGCAGGAAGUAGCAAAUCACAGUUAAUGAUUACAGCUGCAACUCAUAAAGUUGGGCACAGUCACUUGAUUUUUCACUUUAUGACACUUAAUGGACUUGCUAGUCCCAAGUGGUUUGCAGUCAGUAAGUGAGGACUCUUUGUAUAUUAUCCUAUCCAUAAUUACAAAAAUAGACAGAAAGAAGAAACGCUUCCUACCGCUUGCUUAGGAAGUUUAUUACCAUCUGCUUUACUAUGAAUGUUUAGUAAUGCAAAUACUAAAAUGCUCUAUAUGAUAUAAUGUUAGAAUACUAUAUAUUAAUGCUAUAAAAUGCUAACAAUACAAGUAUGUGGAAAUGUUAGAAUAAUCAUUGUAUUUACAAGGCUAGAAGCUCCAGUGUUAUCAUGAUCUUAUACAGUAUGUUGGUCAUGGAUUUGGUACCCAACUGGCAUGUUGAUGUAACUUGAAAUUGCUGA